AGAGUUUGAUUAUGGCUCAGAACGAACGCUGGUGGCGUGUUUUAUACAUGCAAGUCGAGCGAGGACGGUAGCAAUACCGAGCCGAGCGGUGAACGGGUGAGUAACGCGUAAGCAAUCUGCCCCACAAUCGGGAACAACCGUGCCAACGCGCGGCUAAUGCCGGAUAUUGUAGUCUACUGCAUAGUAGGCCAACGAAAGAUUUAUUGUUGUGGGAUGAGCUUGCGUCCGAUUAGCUAGUUGGCGGGGUAAUAGCCCACCAAGGCGACGAUCGGUAGCCGGCCUGAGAGGGUGAUCGGCCACAUUGGGACUGAGAUACGGCCCAGACUCCUACGGGAGGCAGCAGUAGGGAAUAUUGCGCAAUGGGGGGAACCCUGACGCAAGCAACGCCACGUGUGGGAAGAAGCAUUUCGGUGUGUAAACCACUGUCGGAAAGGAAUAACGGAAGACUUCGGUCUUUAUGAAUGUACUUUUAGAGGAAGCACCGGCAAACUUCGUGCCAGCCGCGGC
This 507-nucleotide ribosomal RNA is filed under the name uncultured bacterium. Its description in RNAcentral is "bacterial SSU rRNA". It matches the Rfam family "Bacterial small subunit ribosomal RNA", at positions 8 to 518 of the family's 1533-position model. The record is from RNAcentral.